UGCGUAGGUGGUUACCUAAGCGCAAGGUUUAAUCUUGAGGCUCAACCUCAUUCUGCCUUGCGAACUGGGCUACUUGAGUGCUGGAGGGGAAAGCGGAAUUCCCAGUGUAGCGGUGAAAUGCGUAGAUAUUGGGAAGAACACCGGUGGCGAAGGCGGCUUUCUGGACAGUAACUGACACUGAGGCACGAAAGCGUGGGGAGCAAACA
RNAcentral lists this ribosomal RNA (206 nucleotides) under uncultured bacterium. Its description in RNAcentral is "partial 16S ribosomal RNA". It matches the Rfam family "Bacterial small subunit ribosomal RNA", at positions 568 to 774 of the family's 1533-position model. The record is from RNAcentral.